CUGGCGGCGUGCCUAAUACAUGCAAGUCGAACGGUCUUUCUAUGGAAGCUUGCUUCCACUGAGAAGAUAGUGGCGAACGGGUGAGUAACACGUGGGUAACCUGCCCAUAAGAGGGGGGAUAACAUCCGGAAACGGGUGCUAAUACCGCAUAGUUUUCUUGGUCGCAUGAUCGGGAAAGGAAAGACGGCCUUUGUGCUGUCGCUUAUGGAUGGACCCGCGGCGUAUUAGUUAGUUGGUGAGGUAACGGCUCACCAAGACGAUGAUACGUAGCCGACCUGAGAGGGUGAUCGGCCACAUUGGGACUGAGACACGGCCCAAACUCCUACGGGAGGCAGCAGUAGGGAAUCUUCCGCAAUGGACGAAAGUCUGACGGAGCAACGCCGCGUGAGUGAAGAAAAGGUUUUCGGAUCGUAAAACUCUGUUGUCAGAGAAGAACAAGUUGGAGAGUAACUGCUCCAGCCUUGACGGUAUCUGACCAGAAAGCCACGGCUAACUACGUGCCAGCCGCUGC
This 511-nucleotide ribosomal RNA is filed under the name uncultured bacterium. RNAcentral's name for it is "bacterial SSU rRNA". It matches the Rfam family "Bacterial small subunit ribosomal RNA", at positions 36 to 518 of the family's 1533-position model. The record is from RNAcentral.